GCCUGGGUGGCUCAGUCGGUUUAGCCUCUGACUCUUGAUUUUGGCUCAGGUCAUGAUCUCAACGAUUUGUGGGUUCAAACCCCAUCUUGGGCU
This 93-nucleotide transfer RNA is filed under the name Felis catus (domestic cat). It matches the Rfam family "tRNA". Rfam says of the family: Transfer RNA (tRNA) molecules are approximately 80 nucleotides in length. Their secondary structure includes four short double-helical elements and three loops (D, anti-codon, and T loops). The record is from Rfam by way of RNAcentral. RNAcentral also lists the same sequence under 4 other names. Lineage: Eukaryota; Metazoa; Chordata; Mammalia; Carnivora; Felidae.